RNAcentral lists this ribosomal RNA (500 nucleotides) under uncultured bacterium. Its description in RNAcentral is "partial 16S ribosomal RNA". It matches the Rfam family "Bacterial small subunit ribosomal RNA", at positions 30 to 523 of the family's 1533-position model. The record is from RNAcentral.
AUUGAACGCUGGCGGAAUGCUUUACACAUGCAAGUCGAACGGCAGCACGGACUUCGGUCUGGUGGCGAGUGGCGAACGGGUGAGUAACAUAUCGGAACGUAUCCAAUAAUGGGGGAUAACGAGUCGAAAGAUUCGCUAAUACCGCAUACGCCCUACGGGGGAAAGCUGGGGACCUUCGGGCCUGGCGUUAAUGAAGCGGCCGAUAUCUGAUUAGCUAGUUGGUGAGGUAAAGGCUCACCAAGGCGACGAUCAGUAGCUGGUCUGAGAGGACGACCAGCCACACUGGAACUGAGACACGGUCCAGACUCCUACGGGAGGCAGCAGUGGGGAAUUUUGGACAAUGGGCGCAAGCCUGAUCCAGCCAUUCCGCGUGAGUGAAGAAGGCCUUCGGGUUGUAAAGCUCUUUCGCAAGGGAAGAAAACUUAGCCACUAACAUUGGUUGAGGUUGACGGUACCUUGAUAAGAAGCACCGGCUAACUACGUGCCAGCAGCCGCCGUAA